Long non-coding RNA from Camelus dromedarius (Arabian camel), 4032 nucleotides. RefSeq lists it as uncharacterized. The transcript is spliced from 7 exons. NCBI's taxonomy places the organism in Eukaryota, Metazoa, Chordata, Mammalia, Artiodactyla, Camelidae. The record is from RefSeq and is a predicted model, not a curated record.
UUUAACUCAGCAUUUCCUAAACUUAAUUGCCAAUGUGACUUUACUUUUUUAAAGAAACACAAUAAAUAUCUCUUCUUCCAAAUUUCCUUAAUAAUGAAGCCUGCUUUCCUGUUUUUAUUUGUUUGUUUCUAUCUCCUUCCUCCAGGGCAUCCCCAUUUAAUGCUGUUUCUGCAAGACGGCAGCCUCAAACACAAUUUUCUAAAUCAACCACAAGGUGGCUCUGCUUGUCUUACAAAAGAAGGCUGUGGGCUCUUUCCUAACGUCUGGCUCGCAGGGCCUUUAAAGAGGAGGGCUUGAGUCUUGUGCCAGACAAGGUAGCCAGGUGUAGGGAAGGCUGGGGUGUUACCUGUGUACACGGGUUAAGUUAGAACUGUUGUCGUCUGACCCAGAUGGUGGAGUUUUCAAAAGAAUGUUGUAAGAAGUGGGGUUUUCUGGCUGUCCCUUCCAUGUUUCCAUUUUGAGGAUACGUUUCCGUGGAGUUCAGGAAACUGGACGCCUUUCUUCCAGGUCUUUGAGAAUAAAAAGAUGUUGAAGCAGGAAGCCAGAGCUGUUGGCACUGAGCUCUUUAGUGUCCUAAUCUCCAGCUUGGCCCUCAGUGCUGAUGAAUCCAUUCUAAUUAGCAGCAGCAGGAGCGAUUCAGUAGUGCUCCUAGCCUGACUGCACCGUUUCCGAAGAAUUGCUUUUUGCAGGCGUAUGCACUUUUAAUGAACGGGGAAAAAUAAUCGUUGUCCUCAAGGCCAAGAAAGGGAUAUUUCUCACUGCAUUGAAAGGGCUCAUAAGGAUUGCACUGCAUCUCUUGAUCAACGAUUUUUUAAAAUGUCCACUGGGGAAAAAAAAAGCAUUGUCAACAACCUCUAUUCCCUUCUUCAACACUGCACAUGAAAAUUUCAUUUGCUCCCAUGCUGGAAGAAUAUUUAGUAACUCCACGUAAAAGAAUGGAAUUCUUUAGGGAUGAAACCAUUUCAGAAGAUAGUCAUGGACAUUGAAUGUAAUGGAGAUUGAGAUAAGAAGAAACAAGAACCAAAGGGAGGAGGGGCACUGACUAUCCACAAUGAACAAUUCCCUGAGGUGACUGAGUCAUUUUUCUGCUGACAAUUGGAUCUAAUGCCAAGGACAGCUUCAGUAAAAAGUGCCAUGAUGGCCCCGUCUGUGCCCAAUGCCUGUAAACCAAGGGAAUGAACACACUCAGCCCUGCAGGGAGAGUUUCGCCACCAGCCAGAGCCACCAGCAGGGGCGGCUCUACCCUUGUCUCCUUCCUGGUGGAGGCCACCCUGCAGCGCCCGUGCAGCCACUGAGAGCUGGGAGCUGCCCUCUCCACAGCGGUCCCUGGCUGGGGCGACCCGCCAACCCUCCUGUGCCCCAAGCCCUUGCAUUCAGCAGCUCUUUUGAGGACCUUAUCCACAUCUCACGAGCAGGUACAGAAGCUCCCCACAUCAAAACCUGACAAGGCACUGGACAGGAUGAAUUCUGGGGGCCUCAGCACUCACAGGGAGAAGGUAAAGGCAUGAAGGGGAAGAGGACCUUUGAGGGUCCGGGCCAGGGAAAGGGCAAUGGUGAGGAUGCAGUGGGAACAGAGGUAGAUGAAGGGGCCCUGCUGGGGAGGCACAACUGACUGAGAUCCACACCCGGGGCCUUCCUGCCACAGAGGAGGUGGGAUUUUGACCGGGGAGGACAGGACCCUGGGUCUUGUGCAAGUGUUUCCUCUCAGGGAGCAUCAAAGUCUGGGGCGGUCAAGUCAGCCUCGGAUUGGGAGUGGGAGGCCCAUUCACCCUUGGCCCUCAGCUGGGCACUGCUCAUUUAGGAGGUCAAGUCAGAGCCUGAGUGGGACUCUCCAUGCCCCCUGGGUACGAUGGACCCUCCAGCUCUGGCCAGAUUCCUCUAGAGACCCAAGAUCUUAGACCCUGGCACACCCUAAGGGACUGUGAGGAUCAGGGGGCACCCUUCCUUAGGGUCUGCAAAGUGUUCUGUGAAAAGGAAAAAGAUCUUAGCUAUCUACGAUUAUCUAAGACUAUCUCAUAUUGAGUCCAUGUAGAGUGUUGCGGACACAGAUGGGAAUAAGGUGCAUGCUGAAGGAGGCUGUGGGCUCCGGGGUCUGACAACGGGGGGGAAGCAGGAAGAGGGCUACUAACUCUCAUCAGCUAAGCGUUGACAACGUGACAGGUGCCGUGAUGUAUGAUGAUCCUUCUGGCGAGUAUUAUCACUCGUGCAGAGAUGGAAAAAUCAGGGGCUCUGUGUUUGGAUGGCUUGCCCAAGGUCACACACCUGAUCAGUGUGGAGAGUUUAGAUGAAAGCUGGUCCUGUCUGAUUUCACAGCCGGAGUCUUAACCCCUAGGCUCUCCCAAAUUAUUUUGAAUACUCUGGUGGCUGUAAUUUGGAAUCCUGCCCUACACUUUCCAAAGAGUGGGAAAGCAGCCUGAGGAUUGAAUAAACAAAAUAUGGGAUACCCCCCUGGGGACAGAGCAAUCUGCUCCCAGCUCACAAGUGCGCAGUGUCACUCGGCUGGUCCCUCUCUUAGGGGAGGUACAAUGAAUCGCUCAGGUUCCUCUGCCCCAAACCAUGGUCAGAAUCCCCACUAACCUUUUCCACACCAGUUCCCCUCCGUCUACCCUAAGCUGCCCUUGCCUCUUCUUUCGGUUAGGGCCACACUGUGUGGGAAAGGCGUGCAAAUGUCAGGGAAAAUUCCCUGAAAGAGCAGACACAUGUCCUUUCAUCAGAUUGUCAAAGGUUUUGAUUCCCUGUUCCCACAGUCUCUUCAUGUCUCUUUUAAAAAAGGCUUUAAAGAUAUAUUUGCUUUGUAGAAAACAUAGAUAAAUAGGAAAAUGGAAAGCAUUCAUCUCAUCGCUAACAAAUAACCACUGUCCCUGUUUCGGCAUCUCUUUCUCCCUCUGCCCAAGGAACGAGUAGGUGUAAGAAGCAAAGCUCAAUUGUUGCCUUUGGGGAGGUGGGGAGUUAUAAAGCUAUUACAGUUUUGGUAAGAAGUUCAAGUUGUGUCUGCUGUUUAAGCCACCGAAGUGUUCAAAUGACUCAACUGUCCUCACUUUGUAAUUUAAAUAACAUAGAAGAUGUGUGUUAAACCCGUAAUCAAUAAGUAAAUGCUCAAGUAAAAAUGUUUUUCAAGAUGAUAUUCAUUAAAUGUCUGAGUUUAGUAAGCCAAGCACAAAAGCCAAUACAGACAGUGCCAAGUGCUGCUUUCCGGCAGCACAUGCCCUUUGGACCUGAAGGAGUAGCAAGUUGAAGGAUGUGUGAUGACUGACACCUGGGAGAGAGUGAUGACAGGACAACAUAGAGAAUGCCAGAUAGACCCAGGAGGGACCAGAAACAUGGCAGUGACAGGAGCACAGAUGCCUCAGAUGCUUGCGAACAAGGAGCUGCUUGGGGAGGGUGGCAGGAUGGCCACCUUUGCUCAGCCAGAACCUCUUUACCCCAGAUGAGGGCAAGAAGAAUGGGUGGGCACAGAGGCAGGAAGAAGCGUGGUAUGAGAGCCUCAGCAUGGAGUGGAGGAGGGAAAGAGUGAAAUGACUUCAUUUCUGGGGAGGACUGAGAGGUGGUAAAUGGGCACCUGCCCCAACCCCCAUGAUCCAGAAAAGUCUAAGAUGGCCCAAGCAAUUAAGAUGAAGAAAAUGAAGCCAGAAGGGCUGGUUAGGGCAGAAGGCUAUACCACUGCCUCCCCACGUCCAGGUUGAAACUGUUCAUGUAGCACCAGGGACCCUAUGUGGAGCCUGUGCAGGGAAAUAGGAAGGUAACUGCAACUGGAAGCCACCGCAGGCGGGACAGAGCCUCGGGGCUGCCACCAGCCAAACCUCCAAGUGGCCCCCAACGUUUGCAGGGCUCAGCCCAGCGCGAGCCCGGAGGAGGGAUCCGUGCACCGAACUCCAAGGUCACACAAGUGCAAGGAGGCGGGGCCGCCCAGGAGAGCGGCCACCGGCCAGCGGAACAUCAGCCCAGCCGUUGGUCCGGCCCCUGCAGGGAAGCCCUGGGAUCCCUGUACACCAGCAGCGCCCCUGCCCAAUCGCCGGGAGACCCCCGUUCGAG